Molecule: ribosomal RNA, 492 nt
Filed under: uncultured bacterium
Lineage: Bacteria
Description: partial 16S ribosomal RNA
Rfam family: Bacterial small subunit ribosomal RNA
Source: RNAcentral
AGUGAACGCUGGCGGUAGGCCUAACACAUGCAAGUCGAACGGCAGCACAGUAAGAGCUUGCUCUUACGGGUGGCGAGUGGCGGACGGGUGAGGAAUACAUCGGAAUCUACUUUUUCGUGGGGGAUAACGUAGGGAAACUUACGCUAAUACCGCAUACGACCUACGGGUGAAAGCAGGGGAUCUUCGGACCUUGCGCGAUUGAAUGAGCCGAUGUCGGAUUAGCUAGUUGGCGGGGUAAAGGCCCACCAAGGCGACGAUCCGUAGCUGGUCUGAGAGGAUGAUCAGACACACUGGAAAUGAGACACGGUCCAGACCCCUAAGGGAGGCAGCAGUGGGGAAUAUUGGACAAUGGGCGCAAGCCUGAUCCAGCCAUACCGCGUGGGUGAAGAAGGCCUUCGGGUUGUAAAGCCCUUUUGUUGGGAAAGAAAAGCAGCAGGUUAAUACCCCGCUGUUCUGACGGUACCCAAAGAAUAAGCACCGGCUAACUUCGUG